Molecule: ribosomal RNA, 834 nt
Filed under: uncultured Bacillota bacterium
Lineage: Bacteria; Bacillati; Bacillota
Description: bacterial SSU rRNA
Rfam family: Bacterial small subunit ribosomal RNA
Source: RNAcentral
GUCGAACGCGAAAGGGGCUUCGGCCCUGAGUAGAGUGGCGAACGGGUGAGUAACGCGUGGGUGAUCUACCUUUGAGUGGGGGAUAACGUUCCGAAAGGAGCGCUAAUACCGCAUGAUGUUCUGGGUUUCAAGACCUGGAAACCAAAGCCGGGGACCGCAAGGCCUGGCGCUUAAAGAGGAGCCCGCGUCCGAUUAGCUAGUUGGCGGGGUAAUGGCCCACCAAGGCGACGAUCGGUAGCCGGCCUGAGAGGGCGGACGGCCACACUGGAACUGAGACACGGUCCAGACUCCUACGGGAGGCAGCAGUGGGGAAUUGUUCACAAUGGGCGCAAGCCUGAUGACGCAACGCCGCGUGGGGGAUGAAGGUCUUCGGAUUGUAAACCCCUGUCGAACGGGACGAAAGACUCGGGAGCUAAUCAUCUCGAGAGUGACGGUACCGUUAAAGGAAGCCACGGCUAACUCUGUGCCAGCAGCCGCGGUAAUACAGAGGUGGCAAGCGUUGUUCGGAAUUACUGGGCGUAAAGGGCGCGUAGGCGGCCAUCUAAGUCAGACGUGAAAUCCCCCGGCUUAACCUGGGAACUGCGUCUGAUACUGGACGGCUUGAGUAUGGGAGAGGGAUGUAGAAUUCCAGGUGUAGCGGUGAAAUGCGUAGAUAUCUGGAGGAAUACCGGUGGCGAAGGCGGCAUCCUGGACCAUUACUGACGCUGAGGCGCGAAAGCUAGGGGAGCAAACGGGAUUAGAUACCCCGGUAGUCCUAGCCCUAAACGAUGAAUGCUUGGUGUGGCGGGUAUCGAUCCCUGCCGUGCCGAAGCUAACGCAUUAAGCAUUCCGCCU